Sorghum bicolor (sorghum) is the source of this 1420-nucleotide long non-coding RNA. RefSeq lists it as uncharacterized. NCBI's taxonomy places the organism in Eukaryota, Viridiplantae, Streptophyta, Magnoliopsida, Poales, Poaceae. The transcript has 3 exons. The record is from RefSeq and is a predicted model, not a curated record.
CCUAGCGUGGAUGAAGUCCCAUAUCCGCAUGCUCCCUGACUUUGUCGGGGGGGCUGUUGAUUUUGGGGCUUUGGCCGCGGUUAGCUCCUUCGCUCGACUUUUGUGGCGCGGAGGUUGCUCCCACGCCGAGGGGGUUGACAAGGUGGAGUUUGCCACGGCGGAGGACGUUGGCGAGGGCACCCCCGGCCUGCGCAAAUCUGUCCGGAACUUUAUCAGUUCGUUCUGGAUUAGGUUUGGGCGGGCUGAGGCGAAGAAGAUGGCGGAGGCUCGUCGCGCUGAGGAGAUUGCGAAGAAUAAGGCUAAAGUUGACAAGGCCGGUCCUUCGCGUCCACCAAGCGAGGCGCGUCCUCCGACCCAGGCUGAAGCGGAGGCUCGUGAUGCUGGUGCCAAAGCUCCGGAGGGAUCUGGUGCCAAGGUUUCAGAAUUGCCCGAGACUUCUGCUCCUCCUCCGCCUCAGGUGUGAGGCUUUUUAGUUUUUAGGUUUUUCUUAGUCUUUUUUGCGUCCAAGUAUGUGACGCUUUUGUAAAUAGGGCCGGAGGUUUUGCUUAUUUUGUACAGACUGUUGAGGAUGUAAUAUAUUAAGUUGUUUUCAGAUAAGCCUUUGUUUUACACUUUGAUCCUGCGCAGGUCUCUGGCGGAGGACCUGCGCAGGAUCAUUUAAUUACUCCCCUUUCAAUUUUUUACAAAAGGAUUUAUGUUUCUGGCGAAUUGUGGGAGUACUGGCGAGUUGCCUUCCCUAACAUGAGAUUGGUGGAUAUGUUCGAGUUUGUUGGAUAUGAUAUUGAUGGCGAAGGAUCUGGAUUUAUCCAGUCGCUUGCGCGCCGAGGUUCAUGGCCUACGGCUUAGGUGGUGGUUUUUGUUUUGUUUCUACCUUGCCGUAGGCUAUUUGUGUUUUUCUUUUUUUUUAUGACUUAGUUUGAUGUGUUUAUGCAGCCGCCAUAUCCUAUCCUUCGUAUCUUUGGUGAGAAGGAUAGGGUACGCUGGGUGUCGGAGGUUUCCGAGGAUUCUGCUGAGCCUUUUCUCCAUGGAUAUCCGGAGGUUGUGAGGUCUGCUCCGUUGGAAGAUCUUCCUUCGAACUUUGUCGAAGGGAGUUACGUUACCCCGGUGACGUUCAAGCGUGGAGAUCUGUAUGCGAGGGGUUAUCUAGUUGACUGGUGGCGCCAUAAGUAUCCUACGCGUAGUAUUGAUGACUUAGUUGAUUUCCUUGUUCGUGAUUACUGCGAUGAUCUUAGGCUUUUUCCAGAUUCGUAUGUUAGAAUUGUACGAGGGUCUUAGAACCUUCGACGUUUUACGGUCGGAGGAUGUUUUUCAUUUUUUGUUGUAAGCUUCUGUUAUGUACAUUGUAUAUGGUUAAUAAAGAUCAGACAUUUUUACCACAUGGUCUCCGCACCUUUUAACUUUGACAACCUUCGCGCUAUAA